Molecule: ribosomal RNA, 393 nt
Filed under: uncultured bacterium
Lineage: Bacteria
Description: partial 16S ribosomal RNA
Rfam family: Bacterial small subunit ribosomal RNA
Source: RNAcentral
AUACGGAGGAUCCGAGCGUUAUCCGGAUUUAUUGGGUUUAAAGGGUGCGCAGGCGGGAGAUUAAGUCGGCGGUGAAAUUUUGCAGCUCAACUGUAAAAGUGCCUUCGGAACUGGGUUCCUUGAGUGUAGAUGAAGUAGGCGGGAUUUUGGGUGUAGCGGUUAAAUGCAUAGAUAUCACGAGGAACUCCGAUUGCGCAGGCAGCUUACUAAACUACUACUGACGCUCAGGCACGAAGGCGUGGGGAUCAAACAGGAUUAGAUACCCUGGUAGUCCACGCAGUAAACGAUGAUUACUAGCUGUUUGCGAUACAAUGUAAGCGGCUGAGCGAAAGCGUUAAGUAAUCCACCUGGGGAGUACGUUCGCAAGAAUGAAACUCAAAGGAAUUGACGGGG